Transfer RNA from Culex pipiens (northern house mosquito), 74 nucleotides. It matches the Rfam family "tRNA". From Rfam's summary of the family: Transfer RNA (tRNA) molecules are approximately 80 nucleotides in length. Their secondary structure includes four short double-helical elements and three loops (D, anti-codon, and T loops). NCBI's taxonomy places the organism in Eukaryota, Metazoa, Arthropoda, Insecta, Diptera, Culicidae. The record is from Rfam.
GCCCGUGUGGAUCAAUCGAACCGCGCACUGGACUCACAAUCCAGAGGUCGCUGGUUCGAAUCCCGCGGCGAGCG